This 252-nucleotide ribosomal RNA is filed under the name uncultured Bacteroidales bacterium. Its description in RNAcentral is "partial 16S ribosomal RNA". It matches the Rfam family "Bacterial small subunit ribosomal RNA", at positions 524 to 776 of the family's 1533-position model. The record is from RNAcentral. Lineage: Bacteria; Pseudomonadati; Bacteroidota; Bacteroidia; Bacteroidales.
UACGGAGGAUGCGAGCGUUAUCCGGAUUUAUUGGGUUUAAAGGGUGCGUAGGCGGUAUGGUAAGUCAGCGGUAAAAGCCCGGGGCUCAACCCCGGCCUGCCGUCGGAACUGGGUGCCUUGAGUGGGCGAGAAGUAUGCGGAAUGCGUGGUGUAGCGGUGAAAUGCAUAGAUAUCGCGCAGAACUCCGAUUGCGAAGGCAGCCUGCCGCAGCGUUACUGACGCUGAAGCUCGAAAGCGCGGGUAUCGAACAGG